CAGGAGGUAGGGCGCGGUGAUAGAGGAGGGGGGGUUCUUCUGUGGGACUAACUUCCUCAAUAUGUCUGAUGCUUUGGGUAAGGGGAGCAGUGUAGAGGCAGGGCUUUCUACGCCAGCUGGGACUCCGGACUGGAUUCUCUGGCAGUCAGUUGCUUGGAGGCAAAGGGGAGUAACAUCAGAUUUCAGUUUAGGAAGAUCCCUGUGGCAGUAGUUUAGAAGGCGAACUCGAAAGAUUGUUAGCAGGUGGGUUCAAGAUAGCUGAUAUUUUCUAAACCUGUUGGUCUUGCAAUCUCAGGUCCCAGAUGUGGUGACAAUGAGCAAGAGUAGACAGCCAGGGUGGCACUACCAGCACAAUACUGCCAGCAACAAAAGCACGAGAUUUAGACGCAGAAACCGCUGGUUCCCACCCUGGUUUUGUCAGAGCUACAAAUUUUCCUGGAGCAUUACCAUUUCAUCUCCUUUGACUUAUGCCUGUGUAAUGAGAGUGUUUGUAUGUCACCAAUUUCAUGUAUAUGUUAAUUAACACCAAUGGAGUACUUCCAACGACACAUCAGGACUUGGGAAUGAAGACAAAUGUGAAGAUGUCUUAGCUGGUCCCAGAAUCUUAUCCAGGGGUUCGGGGUUCAGUUGACUGCCUAAGUUACGUAGCUGGGUGGAUAUGGAGAUUUUAGAAUCCAAUUUUGAGCUGCUUCUGUCAUAAUAGUUAUUCAAAUUAGUCCACGUUUUAUUGUCUCCCUGAAAAGCAGAGCGCCCAAAAGAUUUACACGGAGAUUUCAAGCUUAACAUUGCAUUGUACCCAGGGCUCUCUUUGGAAGUCUGAUGCGAAACAAAACAAAAUGUCCCUAGUACUGUAUGGAUGGCUUGUUUAUUCUGCUCUCUGCAAGUGCAGAACCCUGACUUCCUGCCAGGGAGAGAACAGGGUGUGAGCAAUCCGGGAAAGUAAACGGAGCGGAUCUUCAUGCUUUGUUUUUAGCAUGCUGGACAGGACCACCCCAGGAUCUGAACUUCCUGUGUCGAAUGUAGGAAACCCAGGAAAAUGCAUGGCAGUCCUUCCCUCCUGAUUCUGUCCCUGUAGAUUUUGUGUCGGAACCACCAUGAUUUUUUUUUUUUUUUGAGGAAGAUUAGCCCUGAGCUAACAUCUGCUGCCAAUCCUCCUCUUUUUGCUGAGGAAGACUGGCCCUGAGCUAACAUUCAUGCCCAUCUUGCUCUACUUUAUACGUGGGACGCCUACCACAGCAUGGCUUUUGCCAACGGUGCCAUGUCUGCACCCGGGGUCCAAACCGGUGAACCCUGGGCCGCCGAGAAGCGGAAGGUGCACACUUAACUGCUGCGCCACCGGGCCAGCCCCAACCACCAUGAUCUUCUGAGGGACACUGUAGCAUUUAUUAAGAGAGAACAGAUCACCAAAGAUGAUCCCUUUCACUGUUGACCAGUCACAUGCCCAGGAAGUCUGUAAUCUUAUCAACAACAAAAAAUCAGUCUUCUAAAAUGAUACAACGAAGAGAAAUAAAGAAAUGCCUGAGUAGAAGCUGGCAGGGAAAAUUCUGAUGCUGAUGAAAUGAUGGCAAUGGAAGUUUGUUUACAAUUUCUCUAGGAGGCAGAAGAAGCUGUUUUAUACAGUAGCUUGGUUUCUAGAAAGUUGACUGUAAAUGUAAAUGGAUGUUUACUUUAACUACACUUUCGGAGUUGGCCACUUAAAGGAUUCUUUUGGAGAACAUCCUUGUGAUCGUUCUUUAUGCUUCAUAGCUUUGUAUGUUUUAUACCCUCUGUCCACCCCAUUUUUUUUAAAGCAACAAUCAUUUGUAAUUUUCUUACAAGCUAAAUAAAUUGGUCUUUGCCUUCUGAAACAAUAUUUGAUUAUUCUUGUUAUUUUCUUAGAAGGAAAAGCAAGAUUUUUUUGCUUGUUUGUAUUUAAACUCCUCUGCUUUAUUAUUUCUCUUCAUUUUUUUUUUCAUUUCCUAGACUGACCAAAUGAUGAGAUGCCUAGGAAUUUAUUGACUUUUUGUUAUCGAUGCAUAACCCUGAGAGAAUGAGGGAAACCCCAAGCACCCCGCCACCUGCCUGUGGAAAUAUUCAUCCAUCCUCUGGCGCCGUAACACAGAUCCUGAAAGACCAUCGUAACACAUUCUCUAUCUUAGGUUAGCUGCUGUGUGCUUGAAAAUACAAACACCCUGGAGAAUUAUUGCAUUCAAUGGUCUAUUACAGCACUAUACUUUAAUGGAAAAUUGAUUAUUUUUCUCCGGUAGUGAGACAAAUGGGAGUUUUCAUGGGCAUGUAGGAAAGAAGGGGCCAUCUUAGAAUCUGAGGCACCAUCCCAGGGGGACAAGCUUACCCGAAGGACGAAGUUCUGGGCUGCCAAGAAGUUGUAAAAGGGAUGCUGGAUGCCUGGGAAGUAUGUUGGAGAAGCUGCUCAUUAUGGAAGAAAAGGAAAAUGGGAAGCAGAGAUAAAGUAAGUGUGGCUUCCUGCACAAUUUAGUUUUGGGAGGACUGGAUUUUCUCAGCAUACUCAAUUUCAGAGAGACCUGAAAUGAGACCUCUUCCUUCCAAUGUGUAUUGAUCAUUCAUACGGACCUGGUGUUUUGCUAAGUGCUAAUCAUACAAAGCUGAACAAGAUAUUCUUGUCCUCAGUGAGUUUACAUUCUAAAAGGAAAGAUAGGCCAAAAGAAGAAAAAAGAGAAAUAUAUUUUCAAGUUGUGAUAUGUACAAUGAAGAAAACAUACAUUUUUUAUAUUUUUUGUUUUCUGCUCUACAAUUUGACUACCCUGCAAAAUCCGUGGUAAAACAGAGAUAAGCUGGUAAUGGCCGCAGUCUUUGUAAUCUAUAUAAUCAAUUACUUUUGACUGAGGUCCUGAGUAAGUUAGAUCCUAUGUAAGAAAUCCUAUGUAGGAUUUCUAGGGAUAAUCUUAUGACACUCCCAGAACUCUGGAAUUCUGUAGACUCAGUAUUCUAAACACUGAGGGGCUCCUCAGAGCCAAUUCUAAUAAUUGAGUAGGUCAGGUUGACCGCUACCUGUGAGGUUUAAGACCUACUUGCUGUGUGCUCCCUCCACCCCCAACACAAUGCCCAUCCCUUGGCUACAUUUCCAGAAAUUCCAGGGUUAAGAAUUCUAAUAGACUGGCCUCAGGAGAAGAAAACAGAAAAAGGUGAUUAGUCGUGGAGCUGCUGGUGAGAGAGAGGACUAAGGAAUACACCCAGAGCCCCAGAAUGAAGCUAACAAGAAAACUGACUGAAAUGCUCCAAGUAGGAGAGUGAGUCAUAGCAGCUCUGGAUCAGUAACCCAGGUAGCGGGAAGAGGCAAAGUGGAGAAGAGGAUUCAUUCUAAACUUAAGGGUAGCAUGUGGGGAGCCACUUGAGGUCCUUGCUUGCUCUGCUGUUAAAGGGGGACUGUAAAUAUGUCCUAUGAGAGGCUGCAUGCAUGCUUGUAAACAUUCUUUUCUGUAAGUGAUUACGACAACCAUAAGAAAUAGGAAGUCAGUAGGUGACUUAUGUUAUUUGUACAUUACAAGGAUAAUUGUACUAUAGUUAAUACAACACUGAAGAACAAUGUAAAAUAUAUUUUUGCUUGUUCUCACAUCUGUGCUAGUGAAAGAGGUAAUAUGAGGAAAAUGAACGAGAGCAAUUGAGUAAAACUACUGUCUUCUUGGGCCUUUGAGUGGGCACACGUUUCUUUGUCUGCCCAGCAUCCUUUUGGGGGAACACAUCUUCCACCCUCAUUCUAAAGUACUCCCAAUCAGCUGGUUUGGCCCAAGGAGGGGUAUGUGAUCCAGGCUCAGUCAAUCAGAGGAUUUUAUCUUCUUAGUCACAGUGAUUAGUUGAUGAAAGAGUAUGUGAUAGAAGUUGGACCAGUCAGAAGUCUCUCUGGAUAUUUUAUCAGCUAUCCAGAAAAAUACCCUUUCUCUAGGAUCAUAGGCUCUAAGAACUCUGGAGGUUGGGGGCAGCCAGAGUCCAUCUUCCUGCCACGUGGAGUCAACUUGAAGAUGAAGCCAAGCAGAGGCACGCAGUGUGUAGAGAGUGGGGAAGAGAGGCCCUAACUGAUACUGUAUCCAUUCUAAGGGAUCCUUGUGUGGAUGUGCCUGAGUAGCAGGGCAGGUUUCUACCAGCCUCUGAGAAUGGGGCAGUCAGGGCUGUGACUCACCCUGGAACCAGCUGUCCUUGUCAAGAGGGGCCAAGCUCUCCCGGGAAACUUACAGUGGAAGGAGACUGACGACAGCAAAUAGCCAGCUGGGCCUACUUGUAGGUACUGGCCUUUGGGUGACUUCAAGAUUAGUUUAUAGCUGCCCGCUCUCCCCAGAGCCUUCCUGUGUCCCCCACUGCCUCAGGUCAACCUGAGUUACCCAAUUCAUCUGGUGAAAAGAGUGAAGAAGAAGUAGGAAGACUGAGAUAGCGUCCAAGUCCAACAGAAUUCGUUUUCUUGUCUUUCUCACGCAUCUGAUCUUAAGAAGCUUGAAGGCAGGGCCCGUGUCUCCCGCUAUAGGACCUUCAGCCCCAGAACUCGGUGCCACAUGUCCUGAUGCUGGCGCUGGUUUGGGGCCACCAGGAGAAGAGCGGAAGUCUCGUGCCCAACCCCCCGCCCUCCAAUCACUGAGACAACACCAGCAGCCACUUACCUGGAGAUGCGCUGUUAGAGGAGAGAAAAUGAAAGCCACGCUCUGUGCCGUCGGUUUCUGUUCCAGCUGAUGGAAAUCCCUGACUGAUGAAUGAAAACUAGAGGAAAAGCUCCAAGAGAACAGAACCGGGAGAGACGCUUUCCCCCCUCUCGAGGAGCACGGGGCGAUGCGUCUGGCCUGGGUUCGAGGUGCAAACCUGUUAUCUCGUUCUGUGCCCCUGAGCCAGUCACUCUGCCCCCCAAGGCCCACUGUCAAGGCAGGACCACCGCGCUCUGACUCCCCCAUGCCCACAACUGUCGUGAUGUCCUCCUGCUGUGCCGUGGGCCCCAGGACCCAGCUCAAAGUCUGAUGACACGCGGCCAAUCCCUCUGCAGCGAGGCCUUUGGAAAUCGCAGUGUCCCCGGGAAGAGCCUCAGACACCUGCUGUGUCAUUUCCAAGACCGUCUUCUCCAGGUAAGUAAGCACAGCAGAAAGGAGGCCCGCCCCAUAGCACGGAGGGAUUUUCGGCCAGAUUUUUAUUUUUUCUGCAGAUAGCUUUUGACGUUUACUUUAAUUCUCUUUAUUGUGAACUGAAACAACCAUAUAGAAAAGUAUAUGAAACAUAAGGUACAGCUUAAUUUUUCUCUCGUAUAAAGUAAACGCCUUCUCAGUUCAGGAGAUCACCAGCUGCGCGCCCCCCGGAACCCUCGCGCGCAUCCCUUCUGGGCUGCGGUUCCCCUUUUCAAAGGUGAUCGCUGGGCCUCCUUUUAUGCUCAUUCACUUCUUUGCUUUUCUUUAAAAUUUUACUACUUAAAUAUACAUCCAUGGACACUGUUGUUUGAUUUUUCCCUGUUGUUGAAAUUUUUCAGAAGUGCAUCCAUCCAGUGUGUGUUCUUUACGUCUGGCUUUCGUUCUUUAUGUUGGUUUUGACCAGCGUGAUGUUUGCGAGACGCGGUCACAUUGCACACGGCUGUCGUUAAUUCAGCGUAUAGCGUCGUACUGUGUGAAUAAUCAACCGGUUUUUACAAAUUCACUUGAUUGUGGACAUUUGCUUGUUACCAGUGAGGGGAUCCUAUGAAGACAUCUGCGUUCUCCUCGAUGCCUCCGUGUACCCACAUUUAAGCAGAGUAGAUAUGUUGGGUUAGAACUGCCGGGGCGUGGGGUACGUUCCUUCGACUUGACUAGAUGAUGCCCAAGUGAUUCCACUGAUUUAUGCUCCCACAGCUGUGGUGAGUGGUCUCUGUGCUCCACAUUCUCACCGGCAUCCAGUGAUGCCAAUCUUUGCAAAUGUAGCUUUUCUGUUGGCGUGCUUUGUGUGUGUGUGUGUCUGAAUCUGAAAUAGUGGGUGGCCUUCUUAAGACAAAUCACUUGGUCUUUAGAAGUGGGCGACUGACUAAGAGGCUGUUUUGAGGCCCCUUCUGGGGGCUGCACCCUGGAGAGAGAAUGAGCUCAGGAGUCAGGUUUUGGGGUUCAAUCCUGGGUAUACUACCUACUAGCCGUGUGACCCCAGGCAAGUUAGUUAACCUCCCCCACCUCAAUUUCCUCAUCAGUAAAAUGGGAUAAUAGUCUCUACAUCCUGGGUGUGUGUGAGGAUUAAAUGAGAUACUACGUGAAAAGGGCCUGCCUGGAAUACGCACGUGGUGCAUGUUAGCCAUUAUUAUCCUUGAGAAGAAUUCUCCCCUCCGAGGGCUGUGAGACUCACCCAGGAGAAUGGCAAAAACAUCAUGCCUUUUGCGUUUCCGAGGUGCUUUACUUGUUGUAGACUCUGCAGGCUAGUCCUAAUGUUAGCACUGCCCCUCAGCAGCGUGAGGGAAAGCAGGUGGUUUGUGUCCUUGACUGAAAAUUACCUAAAGUGCUCAACUCCUCCGAUCCUUUGAACUGAACGUCUCCGAGGUCACAGACAUUACAAGUGGAGAGCCAGAGGCACAGCAGGGGCCCUUUCUAGACUGUUCAACAGCAGUUUUGAGUCAGCCCUCUCCUACUUGUUGGUGUAGUGGGGUACUUACACACUUUGCUCAGGUCGGGGGUGUAUGCAUGGCCUCAAGGAGAGGUGGGUGGUUCGGGCUGCUGUGUAUGGAGGGGAGAAGCGUGCAGUUUAUGUUGAGUUUACUAAGGAACCAGAGUGAAAGCCCAGUGGAGCGCACGCCUCUAACAUGCUGGAGAGCAGCUCGAGAGCGAGAAACCUCUGGAGCGCACUGGAUGGGGUGAAAGCCUGGGGAGGAGGGGAGAGACGCGAUCCUGGGAAAGUUGAGGGGCUGGGGUGGGGGAACCUAAGGAGAUCGUUGGUGUGAGUCAGAAUGGUCUGCAUGCCCAGGGGCAGCCAGCCAGCCAGCCUGCCACGGUCCCAAGCCAUGCCUGUUGAUACCCGUGCAGAGAAGUAGCUUUGGCUGUUCUGGCCUCAAGGCAUCCUCUGGAGGGCACUACCACCUCGAAAGCCCUUCUAGAAACAGAGAGGGAAGUGGUGCUAUGGAGGGACAGUCAGAGGUCCAGGACCUGGGUGGAGCUGCAUAGAGCAGAGGCUGCCCUUGCUACACUGAAAUGGAAAGAUGUUUGCCGUGCACUAUAAACCGGUGCAAUUAUACAAUGACAGGUGCACGAUUGCACCUGUAGCAUGAUGCCAUCUAACAACAGAUGUCUGUCUAAAAGGGUCCGGGAGGUAUCUCAGUGGCAUUAAAAGGAAUUCUCUCUGGGUAGAAUUACUGGUUCUUUUUAUCUCCCUCUAUUUCUGUAUUUAUUAUGUAUCUGCAGAUUUUUCUGGUUAAAUGAGUUUUUGUAUUACUUUUGUAAUUAGACUAAAAGGAGCAGGAACAUUACCAGGAUGUCUCGUUUAAACUAACUCGUUGCGGGUGGGGAGGGAGGUGAAUUCAUGGAUUCUUGUUAAAGUCAGCAUUCAUGAUUAAGCUCCACUCAUAUUAUACGUGUAGUAAGUGUCAUCUACUUACAUGCCUGUAAUGUGUUCCCGUCCACACGUUGGUCACUGACUAGCUGAUAAGAUGUGAGGUUCACUCCCGUUUGGGGGCAAGGCCAAAAGAUCCCCCUGACCCCUCGCUCAAAGGUUCUGGCUAAGGUUAUUUCCAUGGCAAUGAGGGAAAAAAAUAAGCCAGAAGAUGUGUAUCUGGACUGGGGAAAGGCGAGGUGCAUCUUUCUUCUGUCUGAUUUUCCUUGGUGUCUGGCAGUGACGUUGUUCGUUUGGCGCUGGUCACGGUUGCCUCCUGCCCCUGACGGGGGUUGCCGAUGUCAAGGACUUGAGAGAAUAAAUCCCUAAUCUUCUUAAGUACCCAAAGGAGGGAGGAGUCCAGGGCUGGUAUGGUGGCCCCAACAGGUCAUCAGUGCACAGGCCCCUCCUGUUCCUGCCCCAUGCCCCUCGGUGGGUGGCUCCUGGCACUGAGCUCGCAGGACCACGAUGGGAUCUUCAGCCACUGUGUCCUCAUUUCAGCUGCAACUGGACAGGGGAAAGGGGCCUUCCAAGAGGCCUCACCGAGGUUGCCCUCGUAUUUGGUAACACCCAACCUGCACAAGAGGCUUGGAAUGCAGUUGAUUUUAUUUAUUUAUACAUAUAUAUAAAAUCUGCCCCAUUGCGCAAGACUUCUGUUACAAAAGGAGAAAGAACAGACCCUGGGCAGGCAACAAGCAGUAUCAGUUUAAAGCCUUGCUUUUUUCAGCAAAGUCUGUCAUUUAUAAGUGCUCCAGAGAUUUCAGGAUCAAGGCAGAUUUAUGGAAAAAAUCAGAAAGCCAAAGGUGCCAUAAAGAGUCCCACGGGAACAGUCUACUCAACAAGAUGCUUUGUCAGCAGUUGGUCAGCCAGUGUCUCCUCCAGUCCCCUGAGGGCUCAGCGUGGCAGCCCCGCCACUCGGCUGGCACUGUCAGUGGCGCACAGUUGUCAGUGCAGGUGAUCCAUGGAAAGCGAGCACAAGAGCAGACAGUCCUUGUCCGUCAUCUCCAUAUUUCCCUCUGUCCUCCUACAGUGGGACGUUCUUCUGACAGUCACUGAAGUUGCUGACAUGGUUGGCAUUGCAGUUUCUAGAGGGAACCCUCCACCCUUCUAGUGGGGAGGAGCUCCUGGAGCAGUGAGACCCAGAGACCCCCAGUGGCCAGAGAUGGGCUUCUUGUAAGACCAAUGCUUGGAGUAAAAGGGUCGUGGAAUUCCCUUUUUAAACAUGUCCUUCUUAAAAUUCGGAAUAAAAUUUGUGCUAAUAUAUGUUAUCUGGGCCUGAAAUGAGUAUAAUCUCUCUUAAAACCAGAGUGGGUCAGCCUUUAACUAGAAAGAGUCUGCUGACCAGAAUUAAGUAAGGAGGGGACAGUCCACAGGGGAAAAGAUAAGGCUGCUCCAAAGACUGUCCCCGCUCUCAGAGAACGGUGGGGAGCUGCCCCUCGGGAACUUCCCGGGAAGAAACGUGUUCAAAAGGAAGGUGGUUUCACAGGAGGCCGGUUUUGAGGUGGGAGGAAGGUCGCUUCAGGAGGUUCCAUCAAAGGAAACGGAGCCUCUGACCCUCUGGCUGCCUCCCCUGCAGCGGUCUGAACUCUGAACAAGUGCAGACCUUAUCAGGGCUUUGAGAUCCAAGAGGUUGUGAAGCUUUGCUUAAUUCUCUAACUCUGGAAACCUUCUGCCUUGAAAUGGGACAUUUCCCUGGGUCAACUGCCCCUAACUCAGCUCGGAAAUGCCUUCUGGAGUCCCGCAGCAGGUCCCCGCCCUUCCCUCGGCCCUCUGCUGGAAUGUGCUGCCAGCAUCACUACAGUCGCUCCUCAGAGCUUUCUAGGGCUCUCGGCCAGUUCUUGGUACUUCUUUUUGGUCUACAACAGAGAGAAGCUGAUGAGCAAGUUAUAGACUUUUGUGACUUAUUACUGAGUACUAAGUAAAAUCAAUGCUCUAUUAUUACAGAAUGAGCAACGUGACUGUCAAAUAAGCAACUGAUAAAGACAGUCAACUGAACUUAAUGAUCAACUGAGAAAGAAAAGCCCAAUUUCUUGUACUUAAGAAAAUGCUUAUUGAGGCUGUACUACCUGAGAUAUCCUGCUCAUCCUUAGAGGGACACAGAGAAUGUGCUGAACGGUUUUUCUCUUUGCAGCGAGUUUAUAAUCCUCUCAUCCACGGGCAGGGGAAGUAAUUAUAAAAUAAGACGGAUCAAGAUAAAUCCCAUGAAGAGAGUACCAGACAGUGAUGGGGCUCAGAGGAAGGAGAGCCCAGAUUAUCAGGGGAGGGCUUGGGGAAGCAGCAAAUGCAGGUGGCCAGCAGGAAGCGUGAGUGUUCCAAUGGGUCGUGUUUGGGAUCCGGGAGUGGUCCAGGGUGUCCUGAGAUUAGAGCACAUACAGAAGGGCAGGAAGAAGCUGGAGAAGGCAGGCAGGAAUUUAUUCUUUCUUUUCCUCUUUAUUCUAAGUUUUGGUAUUAUUUGAAGUUCGUGGUUAAUAAACUGAAUUCGCUUACUGUCACUCUAACUCUAUGUACAUAUAUAUAUAUAUAUACACACAAGUAUGAAAGACCUAUAUAUAUCU
This 10076-nucleotide long non-coding RNA is filed under the name Equus caballus (horse). RNAcentral's name for it is "lncRNA (ENSECAG00000056382.1)". Lineage: Eukaryota; Metazoa; Chordata; Mammalia; Perissodactyla; Equidae. The record is from RNAcentral.